RNAcentral lists this ribosomal RNA (257 nucleotides) under Gemmatimonadota bacterium. RNAcentral's name for it is "Gemmatimonadetes bacterium partial 23S ribosomal RNA". It matches the Rfam family "Bacterial large subunit ribosomal RNA", at positions 2675 to 2925 of the family's 2925-position model. Lineage: Bacteria; Pseudomonadati; Gemmatimonadota. The record is from RNAcentral.
UCCGUAGUACGAGAGGACCCGGACGAAGCGACCGCUCGUGUCCCGGCUGUGCCGCCAGGCGCAACGCCGGUUAGCGAUGUCGCGCGGGGAUAACCGCUGAAUGCAUCUAAGUGGGAAACCCUCCCCAAGAUGAACACUCCCGAGCCGUAAGGCUCCUCAAGGGCCCUGGGAGACUACCAGGUUGAUAGGCGGCAGGUGUAAGGCGCGCGAGCGCUUCAGCCGAGCCGUACUAAUUGCCCGUGAGGCUUGAUCUCUCC